Molecule: non-coding RNA, 47 nt
Organism: Mus musculus (house mouse)
Lineage: Eukaryota; Metazoa; Chordata; Mammalia; Rodentia; Muridae
Source: Rfam
ACCCAGGCUCUUUUCAGAGCCAUUGCUUUUCCUCCACAAACUGACAG